Molecule: long non-coding RNA, 197 nt
Filed under: Chinchilla lanigera (long-tailed chinchilla)
Lineage: Eukaryota; Metazoa; Chordata; Mammalia; Rodentia; Chinchillidae
Description: lncRNA (ENSCLAG00000023347.1)
Source: RNAcentral
UGCAGACAGACUCCUUCUGUGUGUUGGUGUCUGCGAUGUUCCUAGGAGUGUGACUGUGGUGGAGGCUACAUAAAAAGACCAAACUGUGAACAAGGCUCCUUGCAUUUAGGUGGUCCAGGAAGCUAAAAGUGAAAUCGACUUUGCCUUUGGAAGCACCAGCCCUAACCAAGACCAAGAAAGCACAGGUGUGGUUCUCA